This 496-nucleotide ribosomal RNA is filed under the name uncultured bacterium. RNAcentral describes it as "partial 16S ribosomal RNA". It matches the Rfam family "Bacterial small subunit ribosomal RNA", at positions 28 to 506 of the family's 1533-position model. The record is from RNAcentral.
GAUGAACGCUGGCGGCGUGCCUAAUACAUGCAAGUCGAGCGAACAGACGAGGAGCUUGCUCCUCUGACGUUAGCGGCGGACGGGUGAGUAACACGUGGUUAACCUACCUAUAAGACUGGGAUAACUUCGGGAAACCGGAGCUAAUACCGGAUAAUAUAUUGAACCGCAUGGUUCAAUAGUGAAAGACGGUUUUGCUGUCACUUAUAGAUGGAUCCGCGCCGCAUUAGCUAGUUGGUAAGGUAACGGCUUACCAAGGCAACGAUGCGUAGCCGACCUGAGAGGGUGAUCGGCCACACGGGAACUGAGACACGGUCCAGACUCCUACGGGAGGCAGCAGUAGGGAAUCUUCCGCAAUGGGCGAAAGCCUGACGGAGCAACGCCGCGUGAGUGAUGAAGGUCUUCGGAUCGUAAAACUCUGUUAUUAGGGAAGAACAAAUGUGUAAGUAACUAUGCACGUCUGGACGGUACCUAAUCAGAAAGCCACGGCUAACUACGU